Molecule: ribosomal RNA, 140 nt
Filed under: uncultured bacterium
Lineage: Bacteria
Description: partial 16S ribosomal RNA
Rfam family: Bacterial small subunit ribosomal RNA
Source: RNAcentral
UGGGGAAUAUUGGGCAAUGGGCGAAAGCCUGACCCAGCAAUGCCGCGUGAAUGAAGAAGGUCUUAGGAUUGUAAAAUUCUGUCCUAUGGGAAGAAACAAAUGACGGUACCAUAGGAGGAAGCCCCGGCUAACUACGUGCC